GCCGUAGCUCAGUGGUAGAGCAUCUGCUUUGCAUGCAGAAGGUCCCAGGUUCAAUCCCCAGCAUCUCCA
This is a non-coding RNA of Podarcis lilfordi (Lilford's wall lizard), 69 nucleotides long. The record is from the annotation of a GenBank genome assembly. Lineage: Eukaryota; Metazoa; Chordata; Lepidosauria; Squamata; Lacertidae.